Nematostella vectensis (starlet sea anemone) is the source of this 1272-nucleotide long non-coding RNA. RefSeq lists it as uncharacterized. The record is from RefSeq and is a predicted model, not a curated record. The transcript has 2 exons. NCBI's taxonomy places the organism in Eukaryota, Metazoa, Cnidaria, Anthozoa, Actiniaria, Edwardsiidae.
GGGGGGGCACAACCACAUGUCUCAUUCAUUGAUGGAUGUAUAACUUUGGCGGUACAAUCUUCGACACCAUAGUUAGAUAUACCGAUACAAAGUACGAUGACGAAAAAAAAAAACAAUGAAAAAAAUCAAGCCGGCUAAACUACAUGUAGGUGGGUGCCACCAACGAACUCCUAACUUGAUGAUUAUUUCUUGUGAAGUGAUCAACCAAAGAGCGCCAACUAUCAAUCUGUGAGCCAAAAGCAGCCUUCCAUUUAGGGCCAUAAACAUUCAUUCAAGAAUCUUCUUUUAUACAACCAGGUCUGUCGGAAAGGGCCAUCUAACAUUUAUAGAUUUAGGCACUGCCUAAGCUCCAAAGUGACAGGACUUUGCUAGUCUUCGAUCCAUAGGUUCAAUAUAAAGCUUUACUACUGCUUGUGACGCUACUGAUAACGUAAAGUUUUGUUGUCUGACAAUGUUUUUUUUACCCUUGGAUAUUAAUAUUCUUAAAACAGAUGCACAUCUUCCAAGCUUGUUUGCUUUAAGGCUGAUUUAGACAACAUGAUUUAGUCGUAUGCGACUUGCCUUUACAACUCAAGUCGUAGAGUGUAAGUCAGCCCACAAAUCCGCUUCGACGCUCAACUACGAAAGUCGUAGAGUGUUAUUCGUGAGUGUUAUAAGACAUGUCGUCUAAAUCAGCCUUAACGAUAUUUCAUGGAAUUUCUUUUCUUUUUAUGACGUCAUCGAUGAUGUCACACAUGUGAUUAUCUCGUCGCACCCCCUUGACACAUACAUGACACCAAGUUUUCGAUGGAACGGACUGAAGGACAUUGCGUCACGAAAACUCGAGUUGAUGGUUUACCAUAUUUAAGUUGUGGUGUCUUCGGCAAUCACUUGCGUAAGGAACCAGUCUGGACUUCCUCCUGAAUUGUCGUGCCAUACUCUGAUCUUGAUUAAAGACCCCAAAUCCUGUCCCAGAAGUAUGUUAAAGAUGUUGAUGCUACCUCUGGCAAAGAAGAUCUCAUUUGCAUGUUCUGGCUUGGAGAGGAAGAUCGGUUGCGAUGCACCAUUCUCUCCGUAGAGAAUCAGACCAACACUGGCUGUGGUUCCACUAGCUCGCCAUGCCCCUGUCUGUAUGAAUAUUUUGUAGCGCUUUUCGCUUGAGUCCUGAUUGGAUUCGUUGAGGCGUAUGGUGGUGUUGACAACCUUGUGGGAUAUAAAAUCAGAAAUAGAGUCUUAUUUUAGAAUUAUGAUAUAAGUUUAGAAUCGGGGAAACAUCAGGAAAAGCCAACCAAA